UGGGGAAUUUUCCGCAAUGGGCGCAAGCCUGACGGAGCAAUACCGCGUGAGGGAGGAAGGCCUUUGGGUUGUAAACCUCUUUUCUUAAGGAAGAAGAACUGACGGUACUUAAGGAAUCAGCAUCGGCUAACUCCGUGCCAGCAGCCGCGGUAAUACGGAGGAUGCAAGCGUUAUCCGGAAUUAUUGGGCGUAAAGCGUCCGCAGGCGGCACUAUAAGUCUGCUGUCAAAGACCGCAGCUCAACUGCGGAAAGGCAGUGGAAACUGUAGAGCUAGAGUACGGUAGGGGUAGAGGGAAUUCCCAGUGUAGCGGUGAAAUGCGUAGAGAUUGGGAAGAAUACCGGUGGCGAAGGCGACCGCCUGGACGGGUACUGACACUGAGGCGCGAAAGCGUGGGGAGCAAACAGGAUUAGAUACCCGUGUAGUCC
RNAcentral lists this ribosomal RNA (426 nucleotides) under uncultured prokaryote. Its description in RNAcentral is "bacterial SSU rRNA". It matches the Rfam family "Bacterial small subunit ribosomal RNA", at positions 355 to 796 of the family's 1533-position model. The record is from RNAcentral.